GCCAGAUGUGGUGGCACGUGCCAGUAGUCCCACCUGCUUGGGAGGCUGAGGCUGGAGGAUUGCUUGACCCCAGGAGUUCUGGGCUGUAGUGCACUGACCGAUCAGGUGUCUGCACUAAGUUUGGCAUAUGGACACCUCCCAGGAGCAGGAGACCACUAGGUUGCCUAAGGAGGGGUGAACUGGCCCAGGUCAGAAAUGGAACAGGUCAAAACUCCCAUGCUGAUCAGUAGUGGGGUCAUGCCUGUGAAUAGCCACUGCAUUCCAGCCUGGGUAACAUAGAGACUCUGUUUCU
RNAcentral lists this signal recognition particle RNA (292 nucleotides) under Bison bison bison. RNAcentral's name for it is "Metazoan signal recognition particle RNA (ENSBBBG00000016817.1)". It matches the Rfam family "Metazoan signal recognition particle RNA". Rfam says of the family: The signal recognition particle (SRP) is a universally conserved ribonucleoprotein. The record is from RNAcentral. Lineage: Eukaryota; Metazoa; Chordata; Mammalia; Artiodactyla; Bovidae.